This 311-nucleotide ribosomal RNA is filed under the name uncultured eukaryote. RNAcentral's name for it is "partial 18S ribosomal RNA". It matches the Rfam family "Eukaryotic small subunit ribosomal RNA", at positions 1470 to 1796 of the family's 1831-position model. The record is from RNAcentral.
CCCCUAGACGUUCUGGGCUGCACGCGCGCUACAAUAAUACGCACAGCGAGUAUCACCGAGCUCGAAAGGGCAAGGUAAACAAUAGAAAAGGUACUGUAAUGGUUAUAGAUCCUUGUAAUUAUUGAUCUUCAACGAGGAAUUCCUAGUAAGUAUGUGUCAUCAUCACGCACUGAUUACGUCCCUGCCCUUUGUACACACCGCCCGUCGCUCCUACCGAUUGGGUGAGCCGAUGAAACUCUCGGAUGUAGGCUAUUCAUAGCCCGCAGAGGAGAUUUGAAUCGUAGCGCUUAGAGGAAGGAGAAGUCGUAACA